This 446-nucleotide ribosomal RNA is filed under the name uncultured bacterium. RNAcentral's name for it is "partial 16S ribosomal RNA". It matches the Rfam family "Bacterial small subunit ribosomal RNA", at positions 338 to 795 of the family's 1533-position model. The record is from RNAcentral.
CCUACGGGAGGCAGCAGUAGGGAAUUUUCGGCAAUGGGGGGAACCCUGACCGAGCAACGCCGCGUGAACGAAGAAGUUAUUCGUAAUGUAAAGUUCUUUUAACAGGGAAGAAAGAGAAAUUUGACGGUACCUGAAGAAUAAGCUCCGGCUAACUACGUGCCAGCAGCCGCGGUAAUACGUAGGGAUCGAACGUUAUCCGGAAAUAUUGGGCGAAAAGGGUGCGUAGAUGGCAUAGUAAGUCUUUUGUAAAAAUGCUGGGCUCAACCCAGUAGGGCAAAAGAUACUGCAAAGCUAGAGUAUGACAGAGGCAAGUGGAACUACAUGUGUAGCAGUAAAAUGCGUAAAUAUAUGUAAGAACACCAGUGGCGAAGGCGGCUUGCUGGGUCGAUACUGACAUUGAGGCACGAAGGCGUGGGGAGCAAACAGGAUUAGAUACCCCAGUAGUC